This 389-nucleotide ribosomal RNA is filed under the name Haptolina sp. Its description in RNAcentral is "partial small subunit ribosomal RNA". It matches the Rfam family "Eukaryotic small subunit ribosomal RNA", at positions 582 to 975 of the family's 1831-position model. The record is from RNAcentral. Lineage: Eukaryota; Haptophyta; Prymnesiales; Prymnesiaceae.
AUUCCAGCUCCAAAAGCGUAUAUUAAAGUUGUUGCAGUUAAAACGCUCGUAGUCGGAUUUCGGGGCGAGCCUGCCGGUCUGCCGAUGGGUAUGCACUGGCAGGGUCGUCCUUCCUUCCGGAGACUGUCCCUACUCUUAACUGAGCGGGGUCGGGAGACGGAUCGUUUACUUUGAAAAAAUCAGAGUGUUUCAAGCAGGCAGCUCGCUCUUGCAUGGAUUAGCAUGGGAUAAUGAAAUAGGACUUUGGUGCUAUUUUGUUGGUUUCGAACACCGAAGUAAUGAUUAACAGGGACAGUCAGGGGCACUCGUAUUCCGCCGAGAGAGGUGAAAUUCUCAGACCAGCGGAAGACGAACCACUGCGAAAGCAUUUGCCAGGGAUGUUUUCAUUA